Molecule: ribosomal RNA, 253 nt
Filed under: uncultured bacterium
Lineage: Bacteria
Description: partial 16S ribosomal RNA
Rfam family: Bacterial small subunit ribosomal RNA
Source: RNAcentral
UACGUAGGGUGCGAGCGUUGUCCGGAAUUAUUGGGCGUAAAGAGCUCGUAGGCGGUUUGUCGCGUCUGCUGUGAAAAUCCGGGGCUCAACCCCGGACUUGCAGUGGGUACGGGCAGACUAGAGUGCGGUAGGGGAGACUGGAAUUCCUGGUGUAGCGGUGAAAUGCGCAGAUAUCAGGAGGAACACCGAUGGCGAAGGCAGGUCUCUGGGCCGCUACUGACGCUGAGAAGCGAAAGCAUGGGGAGCGAACAGG